Molecule: unclassified non-coding RNA, 398 nt
Filed under: uncultured Inocybe
Lineage: Eukaryota; Fungi; Basidiomycota; Agaricomycetes; Agaricales; Cortinariaceae
Description: sequence contains ITS2
Rfam family: 5.8S ribosomal RNA (bases 1-154)
Source: RNAcentral
AACUUUCGGCAAUGGAUCUCUUGGCUCUCGCAUCGAUGAAGAACGCAUCGAAAUGCGAUAAGUAAUGUGAAUUGCAGAAUUCAGCGAAUCAUCGAAUCUUUGAACGCAUCUUGCGCCCCUUGGUAUUCCGAGGAGCAUGCCUGUUUGAGUGUCAUUUGACCUUCUCUCAACCAGAUCAGUCAAUGAUGUGGCUUGGAUGUGGGGUUGCAGGCUUCCGAGUAUGAAAGUCCAGCUCCCCUGAAAUGCAUUAGUGGUAUCUGUCUGAGCUGCUAUUUGGUGUGAUAACUUAUCUAUGCCUUUUGGUGAUCAGCACCGCUUAUAACCAUCGAUUUGACAAAUUUGACCUCAAAUCAGGUAGGACUACCCGCUGAACUUAAGCAUAUCACUAAGCGGAGGCU